UAAAGUUGUUGCAGUUAAAAAGCUCGUAGUUGAAUUUUAGGCCUGACCGGACGGUCCGUCUCUGGCGAGUACUGUUCUGUUGUCGGGUCUAUCCUUCUGGUGAGCCGGUAUGCCCUUUAUUGGGUGUGUCGUGGAACCAGGACCAUUACCUUGAAAAAAUUAGAGUGUUUAAAGCGGGCUUUUGCUUGAAUAGAUUAGCAUGGAAUAAUAGAAUAGGACGUUGGUUCUAUUUUGUUGGUCUAGGACCACCGUAAUGAUUAAUAGGG
RNAcentral lists this ribosomal RNA (266 nucleotides) under uncultured Archaeospora. RNAcentral's name for it is "partial small subunit ribosomal RNA". It matches the Rfam family "Eukaryotic small subunit ribosomal RNA", at positions 605 to 877 of the family's 1831-position model. Lineage: Eukaryota; Fungi; Glomeromycota; Glomeromycetes; Archaeosporales; Archaeosporaceae. The record is from RNAcentral.